GACGAACGCUGGCGGCGUGCUUAACACAUGCAAGUCGAACGGAAAGGCCCUGCUUUUGUGGGGUGCUCGAGUGGCGAACGGGUGAGUAACACGUGGGUAACCUGCCCUUGACUUUGGGAUAACUUCAGGAAACUGGGGCUAAUACCGGAUAGGAGCUCCUGCUGCAUGGUGGGGGUUGGAAAGUUUCGGCGGUUGGGGAUGGACUCGCGGCUUAUCAGCUUGUUGGUGGGGUAGUGGCUUACCAAGGCUUUGACGGGUAGCCGGCCUGAGAGGGUGACCGGCCACAUUGGGACGGAGAUACGGCCCAGACGCCUACGGGAGGCAGCAGUGGGAAAUAUUGCACAAUGGGCGGAAGCCGGAUGCAGCAACGCCGCGUGCGGGAUGACGGCCUUCGGGUUGUAAACCGCUUUCGCCUGUGACGAAGCGUGAGGGACGGUAAUGGGUAAAGAAGCACCGGCAAACUACGG
Molecule: ribosomal RNA, 467 nt
Filed under: uncultured bacterium
Lineage: Bacteria
Description: partial 16S ribosomal RNA
Rfam family: Bacterial small subunit ribosomal RNA
Source: RNAcentral